UACGUAGGGCGCAAGCGUUGUCCGGAAUUAUUGGGCGUAAAGAGCUCGUAGGCGGUCUGUCGCGUCCGUUGUGAAAACUCGGGGCUUAACUCCGGGCCUGCAGUGGGUACGGGCAGACUAGAGUGCGGUAGGGGAGACUGGAAUUCCUGGUGUAGCGGUGAAAUGCGCAGAUAUCAGGAGGAACACCGGUGGCGAAGGCGGGUCUCUGGGCCGUAACUGACGCUGAGGAGCGAAAGCGUGGGGAGCAAACAGG
This 253-nucleotide ribosomal RNA is filed under the name uncultured bacterium. Its description in RNAcentral is "partial 16S ribosomal RNA". It matches the Rfam family "Bacterial small subunit ribosomal RNA", at positions 524 to 776 of the family's 1533-position model. The record is from RNAcentral.